UUUAAUGGCCGCGGUAUUUUGACCGUGCUAAGGUAGCAUAAUCAUUAGUUUUUUAAUUGAAAGCUGGAAUGAAUGGUUGGAUGAAAAAGAGGCUGUCUUUAUUUAAGUAAUAGAAUUUUACUUUUAAGUUAAAAAGCUUAAAUAUCUUUAAAAGACGAGAAGACCCUAUAGAGUUUAAUAAAAUUAAUUAUUUUAGUAGUUAGGAUUUUAAUUUUAAAGGUAUUAAUUUAUUUAAUUGGGGUGAUUGAAAAAUUUAAUUAACUUUUUUUAUAUAGUAAUAUUUUUGAAUAAAUGUUUGAUCCAUUUUUAUUGAUUAAAAGAUUAAAUUACCUUAGGGAUAACAGCGUAAUUUUAUUGGAGAGUU
This 364-nucleotide ribosomal RNA is filed under the name Gallerucida tibialis. RNAcentral's name for it is "partial 16S ribosomal RNA". The record is from RNAcentral. Lineage: Eukaryota; Metazoa; Arthropoda; Insecta; Coleoptera; Chrysomelidae.